This 28390-nucleotide long non-coding RNA is filed under the name Triticum aestivum (bread wheat). RNAcentral's name for it is "long non-coding RNA (TAES_LNC022448)". The stretch from base 7871 to 7942 matches the Rfam family "tRNA". Lineage: Eukaryota; Viridiplantae; Streptophyta; Magnoliopsida; Poales; Poaceae. The record is from RNAcentral.
AAGUACCAAAAGCCCUAAGGUUGCAAACGAUUACCCAUAACGACCGAUAUAGAUUCGGCUCGACGUGCUACUAAACCCUGAAUCCAAAGAUUGAUCACCUAACCAAUUCAAGGUCACAAGAUAAGAAAGGACGGUGCUCCUCUAACCCUGUAUUUGAGUGACUGUUACACAACAUUGGUGAUCAGUUAAUGGCAAACGAAAAGCUAUUCAGGUAGACAAUAGUCUGGCUCGAGUGGCUAGGUAUGUCCUAGUCACGCCCUACCUAGGGUUGAGGAACACGUGUUUGUCCAAUUUCGACAAAACUAAGAGGAUGUUACGAUCCCGCUAUAAAAAGAAUCUGAAUGCCCCAUCCACGUGUGGGGCCGUCGAGCUAUAAGUGAGGGAUCUUAUUUAAAGGAGGGACGACGAAAAUACACGUCUCAGAACAGAAGGGGUAGAUAAAUGUGGGGAACCGAGAACCACUUGCUCUCUAAGAAACCCAUGGAAAGUCAAGAAGUGAACGGAUGCAAAACCGCUUUACUAAAGAAAGUGGGUUCACUAAGAGGGGAGAGAAAAAGGCGGGCGACAAGAAGGCGGUCGCAGGAAGUAAGUAGAUGGACGGCUCUUCGACAGGAGGUAGUAAAAUUGCCAAACCUAAGAAGACCAUUUCUUUGCUGUCGCUCUAGCCCUACCGGGAGGGGGCUUAGCCGGGUCCAACAAACCUUAUGAGUGGGUCCCACGCACUCAGUCAAAGAGCACCCGACGAAAUGUAAGAUGGCUCCAUACCGGGUGGUAAAACACAAAUGGUAUGGGAAACUGUUCGGUUGCCACUGGAACCAAAAACCAGUGGUUAAGUGGAUCAAUCCAAAAGGAUUGAAUCAACUUAUUUAUUCUCAAUAGCUCAGCUCGAGGGGAAGACCCUCGAAGUAUGAGGGAAAAGACCAAUUGAUAAAGCACACAAUGCUAAAUUCAAAAAUUGGUUGGUACUUUUCCAGGAAAAGAACUACUCAUCCCUCUAAAGCCGAAGGAAAGACAGCGGACUAACGCAUCAACCUUUCCAGAAGCCCAGGAGAUAAGGAGUUAGCUCUAUGCAUUCCUCUAUUGAAGGUAAAGAAACUGAACAGUUUUUCAUANNNNNNNNNNNNNNNNNNNNNNNNNNNNNNNNNNNNNNNNNNNNNNNNNNNNNNNNNNNNNNNNNNNNNNNNNNNNNNNNNNNNNNNNNNNNNNNNNNNNNNNNNNNNNNNNNNNNNNNNNNNNNNNNNNNNNNNNNNNNNNNNNNNNNNNNNNNNNNNNNNNNNNNNNNNNNNNNNNNNNNNNNNNNNNNNNNNNNNNNNNNNNNNNNNNNNNNNNNNNNNNNNNNNNNNNNNNNNNNNNNNNNNNNNNNNNNNNNNNNNNNNNNNNNGGGGCUUACUUAGAUUGUUAGGUAUAGUAAUAUAGGCAUGAGGCAGGCCCUACCCAAUGAGUGACCUCGUAGCAAGCAUACAACCAAAGGAGACCCUGACUACAAGAAGGCCCUAUUCCAAAGGUGGGAAACCAGGUUACCCUUUUUCCUUCUCAAACAACGCGUUUGAUUUCCUUCCUUAUACCAAAUUCCAUCUUUCUCUUGCCGAUCACAUCACAUCCAAGGCAUUUCGUCAGAAUACAUCCUGUCUUUUCACCUUUGUAGUCCUAUGCAUAGUAAGUACUAUAGCCUCACUAGUCCUCGUCGAGGAAUCUCCUUGCCGCCCUAGAAGUUUGAGAUCGUGCCCGAACGUUUUGGAGUCUGUUCAGGAGCUCCUUCAGCGCCCGGGGAUUGACGUCGGACUGGAGUCGGCUCAACAUGAAAUCAAGCAUGGUGCGAGGCAGAUGGAGGGGAUUAUGGUUCCAAUUUGUUGGCAGGUGCUUUCGCUGUAAAAGCAAAGGAACUUUUCAAGAGUUUUGAUGAAUUGAAAACCGGUUCUACUUCGCUCUUGCUUCGUGGUCUUGAGCAAGGAACUACUCAGAUUCGCACCCUGAUGUUUAUUGGAAGGAAAAGCCAGAAAGCAAGGAGGUUUGGUUUACGUAUGGUGGAAGGUUACAUUUUCCAGUCGGAACGACGGAGCUCUAAAUAAAAGGUAUGAAAUCCAAUCCCUUAUCUUUCUUAAGCGUACGGAUGAAAGCCAAGAAUGAAGUCGUCUCAUCCCGUAUGGUAGCCUAUUCUUUACCUCUCGUUCCAGGGUUGGAUGCAACAUUUCUAUGUUAUAGAUAGGUGAGUUGAGCAAUACUUGUUUUCGAGGAUUUCCACAAGUCCGUCCGAGUUGAGGGGCUAGGGCUUGAAUCCGGUCGGUUGUCCAACAGUGCCGUAGUUGAAUAAGCAUUUACUUUAUUUACUUCUAGAAGGACUUGAAGUGAGACCAGAGAGAGAAGAGUUUUCCCGCAAACCAUAGCGACUAGAUAGUCUCAAAACAAAAGAGUUCUUUUUACAGUAGCGGGGUUGGGAAAGUAAGAAAAGUCAAGCCCGAUGAUUCUGUGGGAAGGGACGGAUUUAGAAUUCCUUUUUCCUUCCUUUUUACGCCACCUCCUCCCAAUCCUUGAAGAUAUGAAGCAAUAUUUUAUUAAGACUAAGUGAAGGUUGGUAUGGCCCAAUCCCAUCAUUUAAAUGAGAGUGGAUCGAGGGAAUGGAAUCUAGACUAUAGAUUGAACUAGAAAAAAAAUGCAAUCUAUUCAUUCAUUCAUCUUAUCUUCCUUUUUAGAAAGUAGCAAGCAGCAAAUAAAACGGCUGCAGCAAGAAGUUUCGCACUCUAACUCGAAAUGGAUUUCGCGCAUUGAAAGUGUCAUCCCUUGCUUUGUUCUAACCGCCCUUCCUUUAAGUUUCAGUAUUCGAAACUCUUCCUAGAAUUAGAUUGUUUAUUUAGUAUAUAAUAGGAGAAGAAGGGCUUCAUUGCCCCCAGUAAAUGCUUUCGAAGGAGAAAUUUACAUAAUUCUCUAUAUUUUUGGAAAGGAUAUACUGUAGGCAUCUCGAUAGUAAUGGUAAUGGUAGAUCCAAACUAAACCUUCCAAUUAAUCAAGUUAAAUGUAAUAUCAUUUUUCCGUUUUCGUCUACCAUUAACAACCAUAAAUCAUAAUAUAUAUGUCGGAAUUAUACUUAGAUCUUUAUUAUCUUCAAAUUUGAUCAUAACCUCUAUAGAAAUAAAAUGGAUUAGGGCGUGAAUUAGUAAGUUGACUGCGCAUGAGAACUAUAUUAUCGAAUAAUAUUAAUCCUAACCUCACAAGAGCCUGAAUAAUAAAUGUUGAACUUUUCCUGAUAGAAGUAAGGCUGCCAUAAUAUUAUUGAACAAUGAAUAUAAACUAAUACUACAAUAAUAUAUUAAUAUUAUUUAGUCAAGCCGGAAUAUUCCAAUAUAUUUUAGUCUAACAUUAUACGAAAGAUCUAUAAAUAAUUAUCACAUGGGAAUAAAGUGUUAGCCGUCAUUGCUAUAACCAGACAGCAGAGCGAAAUGUUGUCCAUUCUUGUUCUGAGGUUGUUAGCUUCCUCCGAUGGAACCAUUUGUACUCUCUGCCGGAAUCUGUAGACAUAGUUUCUGGGUGUCUUUAGAAACUGAUCGACAUAGUUGUCACACACAAACCUGCGCAACGGGUUUGGAGUAAAAGAAUCUCCUGCGGUCACACACAUCAUCUCGAGCGCGGAAUCUACUACUCUAACAAGAUACUCGGCUCGGGUAAAUCAUGCUUUUGUUAUGCGAGGAAAGUGAAAGGAAAGAGGGAAAGGGAGACACUGGGCAAUCCGGAAUCGAUGAAAUCACUGUUUUUUCGCCUUGUAAUAUGUCCGGUUACAUUCCAAAGAUGAAUCAGACGAGGAGAUAGAUAAGCGCUAUGGCGGACACAUGAAAUAAGAAUUUGAAAAGUAAUGAUCAACUUUAUGGAUCCAUAGGUAGAUUCACUUGUGAAGCUAUGGGAUGGGACAAGAUUCAAAAGUACCAAAAGUAAGUUAAGUGGGACACUGAGUUCAUUGCUGCGAUCGAGGGUCCAAAGCCAGCCAAUUUGAUGACCGCGUAGGAACGGGUUCCGAAUGCUCACAAUAAUGUAGUUGGAAAUGACAAAAGGCUCCUAAAUUGAUACCUAAUAAUAGCUUAGCAGCUCCUUCGUUUUACUAAAGAGCCAAAUUCAGACAAGCAACUCGGAAGGAGGAAUGUGUUGAGAUGCCUAUGCCUAAGAAAGAUAAGCGAAGGAUGUAUGAUAGCCGAGAGGAUGUCGGUAAACAACGGAGUUUAAGGAGUUGUUUUUGAAUUUGGCAUGGCAUAUUUCAUUUUUUUAAUGAGAACGUCGUCUCCUUGCUUACCCGCCUGGCCAAUGGAAGGAAUUAAUUACCUUGGUCAGUCAGCGAAAGAAAGAAUCUCACCAGUUCAUCAUCCCAAUCCUUCCUAUUAGUUUCAUUAAUUUAUUCAGCCCCAGAGUGUUGGCAAUCAAGGUCCAAGAAAGAAUCCCAAGUCUAUCCUAUCUCGCCACGGUCGAAAGCACAAUCCCUUUCUCUUCCUAUACCAAAAUCGUCGUUUCAUUCCUCCGCAACUUCUAUCGCGGACAUGAUCCAAUCUACCUUGCAACACAGAUUAAGAUAUAACUUAAGGCUUUCCCAAGCUGGCGCAUAACCUCUGGUAGAGGCAUUCACCCAGAGACAGAGAAGUGGGAAACCGCGGAUGAAAAGAAUACCGAGGUCUUUGAUAGCAAACUUCUACGCGAGCUUUCUAACUAAAAGGAAUCUCUUAUUCAUAUGGCAUAAAAUGGAAAAACUUGAUGGAGAUUUCUUCUCAAUUUCCAUGGUACAGUCCCUUUGCAUGCUACAGUUCCAUUACUUACUACCUGAAUUUGCUAUAUACGAAAUUCUGACAUCUACGGUACUUGUCGUCUACUUCUGGUGGAAGCAAUUCCAAAGGUGAAUAUAAUACUGAGCCAAAUAGUAAUGAGGGGAAUGCAAAAUCUAGCAAAGGUAAGAAGGGUCAAGGAAGAAUAGCAGUGACGAACCUGGUCCUUAGUUUCCUCCAACUGAUUCCUGUUUUUUUGAGCCUUUUUCAGUAAGUCCUUAAUAGCGAAAAAUGCUUUGACUCUAAGGGUUACCUUGGUACCUUUAUUCGGAUAUGCUUCUUUUCAGACAGGAGGGGCAGAUUGACAUUCAUGCAAUGGCACAUGGAUUCUAUUGAGAAGGGCUGGUUGCUCUCGACGACAGGGAGGGUUUGAAUGAGAUGCUGGGAGAUGGGAGUUAUUGGUGGAUUGAGAGGGGAGCAGAUGCGUGGGCUAGUUCAAUCUUUUUGCUCUUGCCUUCCUAGCCUUAUGGACAGGCGUCCUCUGGCCUAGUCCUGAAAGUCUUCCCGCAGCCUUCCUUGCCCUCAUUGCCCGGCACACCUCGGAAGGCAUACCAUGGAACCAAUUCAUUCAUCUGCCCUCUUCGCGAUAAAGCUUUGCCUUACUUUGCUUGCUGGCUCUAAGCCCACCACCUUUACUACACUACACCCUCUCACCGCUCCUAUUCGGCCUGAAAGGCUUCUAACUUCCCCAAAACCUUACUUAUUCAGGGCAAGAUUCGGAACUUAGGGUCACUGCCUUUCAUCCGCCUUUCUCUCAUAUGCUUAGAACCUAUCCAUAGAAAUGGAAUUCAAAACUUCGGAAUAGUUUCGAGGAGAGCCGAGAGGACACGUUCAAGGAGUAGUGUAAAGUAGCAGACAGAGGGGCGCUCCCGCUUAGGCAUUAGGCAUUAGGCACGAGAAAGGACAUCGUUCUCGGCUGUCCCUUCCUUCCCGGAAAAAGGCUCUCUUGCUUCUUUUGCUUCCCCACCCGGCCUCUAUUCUAGAUUCACCGUCUUCGGAUGCAUCAGUUUAUUAUGCUUAUGCCUAAUCUUAAUACUGGCUAGUUACUUCAAUUACCUUACCCCACCGCCCCUCCUUUUAAGGAGGUUUCAGAGCACCCAGUCACAGCUCGUCACAAGAAAGGAUUGAUGGUCGAGUCCCCGUGCAUGAAGUCAGUGGAUUAUAGUGAACUGACCAUACUACAAAUCGACAUACUUGAGGAAGCUUCUUACUAAACCAAAGAAAGGGCAGCUCCAGUUGUGUUGUCGAUUCCCUUCUCCCGAGAGCUUUCACACUCUGGGAUGGGAGUCCCUUCCAAGACUUGACCAAAAGCUCCCCACAAUUUCUUGAUUUGAAGCAGUUCGGAGGCCUUUCCUAGUUACGAUUCGCCCUCGUCUGUCACUAUAGAUGUUCUAGCUUUAGUCUUUAGUGUCAUUUCGAGUUAUGCAUUUGGAAUGCUCCCCUUCCAAGCAAACUAAACUAACCUUGCUAAGUGCUAGCCAGGUGAAAGUGCUUUUCGCUAGUAGUUUUGGUGUUCUCUUCCCUUUAAUCCAAUUGAAUCAAUCGAUCAGAAGAACAACAACAAGAAGGCACUGUACUUUUAAUAGGCCCUACUUCCGAGACCUCUAUCUCUAUUUAUUUUCAUUCUUCCCUUUGGUCAGAUACUAGAAUAUAGUAUUUUUAUUGGACAUCCUCCUCACUAUUGAAAAUUAGGGAAAACCGGAUCAGUAAACUAUUGCAUCUAAGGGAACAGAGCAGCAGCCUAGAGAUAAGUAGGAAUUCAGGUUAGCUUUUCUGUUUUCCGAAUCUUACCCACCUGAGAGUCCUAGUCUCGAAAGGGCACCUUGGCCAUCCAGCCUUAUUGCAGAAUUGAUCCAAAAGUUGUGAGCCGAUAGAAGUGGAAAGAUAGUAGGUUUCAGAAAGGAAAUAUUCCAAUGGUUAGAUUACCUCCAUCUCGGUCAACGAUGGGGAUUUGUGAAGGUAUCAAACUUAAGCUAUCUAUAGAAUGACAAUUUUUGAUGUAGCUUCACGUCUACCUAUACCAAAGGGUUUCUAUAGUAUGCCGAACUAGUGAUAGUACCAAAUGGUCAAUGCCUACCUCAAAGGUUUGCAUCUAUAGAGUUACGAAUUGCCUACUGUGAGUGUUCCUUCUACCCCAAUGGUCUACCAAAACAGAAAUGCCUUCCAUAAGAUGAGGAAAUCAUUUUUCUACCUUCUGCCUCUGAGGUUUCCCUUCUCUUCCAGCAUUCUUGAAACCUGACAAUCAAACUAUUGCAUAUGGAGGACAAGUCAAAAGAAGAUUCAUUCCUUCAUUACGGCGGUUGAGGGUACCUGCCGUUCAGAGAUGCUAUCAGAGUAGGAAAGUUAGCCAAGUUAUCCUUCCUAGUUUAGAUAAAGCACCCCAAUCAUACCAGACGCAACCCGAUCAUUGUAUACAUAACAUAGUGGAAUUUGAGUAAAUUCUCUCUGCCUUUCCCAUUUCCAAUUCAAAAACCACUAGGCAUAGAAGGAAAUCUUUCCCGGUAGAAGGUUCUCAGUAAUCAGCAGUGGGAAUAAGCCCUUCCAGUCUUUUUCGCCUAAGAAGGUUUUGGAGGAGGAACCUAUGGGAACGGCAGUCCUGCAUCGAGAUUAUUAGUUGCUUAUUCCCAAUGAUAAUAUGUAUAUACACAUUACAUGUCCAAAUGACUGCUCCUCCAAAAUAUCUUCAGGUAGAAUGAACCAUGAUUGAAGAUAGGAUGAAAACCAGGGCUUUAAUAUAAUUUUACGAUCAAUUAUAGGUAGAUUUGGUAAUCCCAUCAUGAUCCGAUAAUAUAGAUAAGGAUUACUUUAAUCUCACAGGAUUAUUUUACGUACAUAUUAUAGGAUUAUUUUACGUGCAUAUUAUCAUGGUCAUAAAGUAUAUUACUCAAACUUUGACAAAGGUACUAGGGACAUUUCCUCCAUUUAUAUUCGUAAGAAAGAACUCCCACUAUUCGUUUGUAUCAGCCUUUAGUGGGUCUUGGUGAAUCAAAAAAAGGCGUAGAUAAUGUGCAUUGCUUUUGAGUUCGAUUUGAACUAACUAGUUUCCACGGUUCUCCAGGAACCUACCAUUUGUUUGGAGUAUAGCCAAGUGGUAAGGCAUCAGUUUUUGGUAUCGGCAUGCAAAGGUUCGAAUCCUUUUACUCCAGAUUAUGAAGACCCAAUCGGAUUUGUCAAGAACGAGCUAACAACUACAGGGGAAGCGGCUCAGUAUCAACAUACCACCUGCCUAUCUUAUCAAUGACAAUCAUCCGUUUGGAUGAGGCCAUUCUAAGGGUUGUUUAGGAUUGGUAUAUGCUCUCUUCCCACGGAGUUCUUGUCCCCAUGACCAGUAUCAGCAGAGGCAAGACCUAUAAGCAUCAAGCCAUCCAAGAAGUAGAAGUUGGUAAAGAUAGCACAAACAAAAGAAGAAAGGAACUUGGUUGGUGAUCUUACAUAUGGGAGGCCUUCUAUAGAGUGAGGCAAAUAGCGAUUUUGCUAUAGAUACUGGGAUCAGAAAAUGGUAGUGGUGAUUGUGAUUCUUCGUGAGACCCACUUAAGAAAUAAUUUUCAUCUGGGUAACAAUAGAUUAACUACCUAAUGAAUUGGGUAGAUCAUGAAUGCAAGGGACAGCAUUUCCAACUCAAUAGGCAAAUUCCUACCGGCCAGAAUCUGGAGAAGAACAAAAAAAGAAUGGUUCCGCUUACUCACAACUCAGAGGGGAUACCGCUUACUACUCAAAUCCAAGGAAUUGCAAAAGUUGUGUUCUUAUAUGCAAGAAUAAGACUUUGAAAGAACAAAGAAGUUUGGAUCCGCAAAAGUAUGCUUAGGCAGUUCCUUCACUGAGCACAACAGAAUGAAGAGGAAUUUGUUUCAUUUCAAAUACUUCUUAUUGAAAAGAGGGAAGGAGAAAAAUGGAAAUCUCCUACUCGAACAAUAAGUCCUUUUGUAGAAAAGUCUUCUUUAUAUAGUAAUUCGACCUAUUGCUCCGGAUCCCCGUUUACUAGGAAGAUAAGAAUCAAAAGGAUCAAACUACCUACUAAUUAUUCGGAGGUGAAUCAUAGAACACUAAAAGCUCUGGAAUCUUAUGGGCCUAACAUAGGUCACAUCCCUCACGACAUAAGAUUAAAAAAUCCAAACCUUCCUCUUCGGAGCGGAAACGGACGUGGACAGAACAUAUAAAAAAAGAUCGGCCUAGUCGCUCAUAGGGACAUAUCUAUCCGGAUAGAGGAUAGUCUAGAUCAAUUUUGAGAAAAAUCUCUCUAUAUAUAGAUAGGUAUCUCUGUGGAUAGAGAUAAAGAUAGGGAUCCCUAUAAAUCGAAAUAUAUGGAAAAAGUGCACUUUUUGACUAAUACUACUAUUUCUUAGACUUUUUCAAGGAAACAUCGUUUUUUCGAUUUUGACUGAAUUGGUCGGAGCGUAGACGAGCAAGCAGAGCCUAGGAAAGAGGUCAGAUCGUCAUAGAGCAGUCGACUAUAAGUAUAAGACUGCUGGCCUGAGAGAAGGCAAUCUCUCUCGGGAAACAUGGCCCCAUUUCUCUUCUUUCUUUUCACACGGGCAACAAUUGGGAAUAAAACAGACCAUGAACAUGAGUUUAAAAUGUAAAAAAAGGGAAGAGUGCAUUCUCCACUUUCUUAUCUCGAAAAUGCGUAAUAUAGUGAUGUCAUGUGUCUAUUUCUCUGAAAAGGUGGAUCGGCCCUUAGGGCAAAUAGUAGUACCAGGUUCCAUUGUGGAACGGUCGUUUGCCGAUGACCUUUGUCCGCUGUAGUACGAGUGACUGGCGCAUCGCAUCCAAUCUCUCAUGUCAAUGAGUCAGUUAGAAAACAGCUCCAAAUGAAUCAGUGAUUUCCCCUUUAUUUCCUCAGAGCACAAGGGGAAACAAGAUUGAGAAUGAAUUAAAACACAUCAAAUGUUUCAUUUUGCGUAUUAUCAGUGGUCAGCUCUGAUACAAACUAGGGGAAAAAGAACCUGGAACGCCUUCUUUAAGGCGCUACUAUUUCUAGCGGCAUAGGUGCUUUAUCACAAUAUGAAAGAUGUACAUACGAGGACUACGAUUCCUAUUUAGAGAUAUUCCUACGAGCGAUAGACGUAGUAAGGAAAUUACGUACGCCAAUAACAAAUACGAAUACGAAUUACGCCUACGAGCCUACGCAAUGGCAUGUUUCGGCGUAUAAAACUAAGAACGAGAAUAGCCUACUGCCUCCACUCGGAAAAGGCAAAGGUAUCCUUCCUUUUCAGCUUUGAAGUUGCAAACCGGCAGACCUUACUUUCUAAAAAAGACAGAAGUACGGAAACUGAUCCUAUUUCAGAUCUAGAAUUGCAUUCAAACUUAGGCCGUUUUGAAUUGACAUAGCAUGACCUGUGAACUCUCAGCGCGUACAACAGUUGCUUCGACAAACAUUCGAUAGACUAGCUUUCGAAGUGCCACGAUCCUAUUGAGUAAAAUCAUCCCCUGGGGAUAACGGAGUGCAAGGCUACCCACCUUACCACACUUUCCCUGAAUGUAAGUUGCUCAGUCAACCAGGAAGAUCAUGGCAGCUAGACUAAUUUGAGAUUAGAUCAGUGUCAUUUGUAGCUCCCUGGUAAUGAACUAAAAAAGAGACUGCUCACCGCUGAGAACAAGACGGCACAGGUUGUGGUUCUUCUCCAGUGUAGGCUAGCUGCUGGAACCCACCGUGUUCAAAUCCGAGUUAGGAAAUUAGACUCUGCGAUAUCGACCGACGCAACGCUAUCGUGAUAAGCAUAGCCUUCGCCCCGCAGAGUGCUAUAUCAAUGGUUCACCAGGCUCAGUUCAUUAAUGGCUUAGGGCCGGUCUUCAGUAAGUCAAUCACCAUCGGGUGGAGGGGAAAGCCCUACGUCAAGGUUAAUGGAUUCACCUACCCCAGUCUCAGAACUUUCUAGACUUUCUUACCUGUGUUCUUCUCAACUAAGAGAAGGGCGUGCAUCUACAUCAGUGGUAUUAUCUUCCUUUUUCUUUUUGCAUCUUUGAAUCCUGGUGUGUUGGUUAGUACCGAAGCCUCUUGGCUAGUACAGAGUUGUGGUUUGAUAUAGCUACUAGAGAACCUGGAGGCACUCUCUAAAAAUAAGUAUUCUUCAUAUGACAUGUGAAUAGACAACUCCUGGUAUGCUCAUUUCAUUUCUCUUGGACCUAGAUCUUCACUUUCAAAAGUCCAGAAUUGAUGUAUCAAAGGCAUUUCAAAGGAACAGAGGGUCCAUCUUUGAAGUGAGAGACAAUUGGUUUCAACUGUGUCGUAGGGGUUGUAUUCUAAGACCUGCCAGGCGGGAGGAACCACAGUCUUGGGUAUUGAGCAUGUGAAUCAUGUUAUUUUGUAGGAAUAGAUAUUCUCAGCCAUCAUAUCUUGUUCACCCUUGGCCAUAUCUCCUUCCGAGAAUGAGUUGGUUUGGGGAGAUCAUUAGGUUACUGAGAUCGAAGUAGUGAGGCUGCUUGAGUGCCAUCGAAACCCAUUUGAAAUUGCAAUGACAUAUUGAAGUAGUAGUUCGUUCAGCACCCGAUUAGGUAUCUGGAAAUAGUUCCUUAGCUCUUUUCUAGUUCGUUAAUGACCUCAGCGGUUGAAAUGGAAUUGGAUCCCAGCUUGUUAGUUAAUAGAAUCUAAAUGAGAUUGAAUGGAAAUGUUGGUAAACCAAGGGGUGCAUCAUACUUUUCAACAGAUGUUGGGGUUCCUAAACCAUAAGGAUACUCUUUUCAUAGAACAAGGCCUGCCAAUCGAUCUCCUAGGCUAUAAUCCAAGGGAUAGCUUAACAUGCAUCUCCUAGAUGGAAGUGUGCUACAAUAACUUUGAGCUCCUAUAGUCUUUGAUCCUUGAUCUGAAGAGGUAGGCAGCUAUGAUAAAGAAGCCAAGGGAUGAGUGAUUGUGGUUGGCGUGCCACAUGGAAACUAGAUAGGUGGAAGCUAUUUUAGACGACCUUGCGGGUCAUCCUAACAUUGAAAUGAAGCUAUUCGAGCAGACAGUGAAUAAAGCUAUGAAUGGGGGUAGCUUUACAAGGCAUAAUGCCGGUGUGCACUUUUCUUUUCUCAAACUGUGGUUGAUCCUCUCUAAAUCAGAGGUCAACAUUUCUUUGCAAUGAACAUUUAUUAGGUCUGGAGACCUUGUUAGGUGCACUCGUAGGUGAGCUGAAAGCGAGGAUUCAUGCGUUCUUUCUUCUCAAGAGUACGGAAUGAUUGCUCGGUAUGAUGUAGAUUCUUAGUAUGGGUCAAGUCUCUGUGCUUAAGUGUUAUCCCUGGAUCGGUAUGCUGACACACACAGUACUCGAGGAUUUAUAACAGAAGUAAAUCACAUGUAUAAAUAACGUAAAUAUUAUUACCUCAAUCCAAAUAGCGGAAGUAACAAGGUUGUGGAUUCCCAUCAACACCAACGACAAAGUUGAGUGUAGAAAUCGUAACCCUAACGUAUCACUUACUCGUCGUCUGAAAAGACUGCAACAUGAAACGUUGCAGCCCGAAAAAGGGUCAGCACAUGGAAUAUGCUGGCAAUGUAACACAUAGAGAGUAAUGAAUGAAUAAUCCUAUACUACAUGCAUAUAUGGCUGGUGGAAAGCUCUAUGGUUAUAAUGUUUUUGCGAAAAGCCAAUAUUUCCCUACUGCAAAGGAAUAAAUUCAUUUAACUAUCAUGGUGGUUGUUAAACAUUGAGAAUGGUUGACAGCAUUCUCAAUCCGAAUUAAAAUUACUCAUUAACCCAACAAAAUUAAUUAAAGUAACAUGAUGAGAUCAACAGGAUAAUCCAAGAACUAGAUACUCAAGAUGUCCAUAUCCGGGGACACGGCUGACCAUGAUUAGUUUAUACACUCUGUAGAGGUUUGCGCACUUUUCCCCACAAGACUCGAUCUCCUCCAUUAGAUUUCUCGCACCACAUGAUGUUUGAUAAACGGAUGAUCGAGACAUAGUCUUUCAGAAGCACUAGCACCUUACAUGUGGGUAGACCGGUACGCCUACUUUCCCCUGCAUCUGCUAGUCUACCCGUAAGAGUUCGCACAACUUAAUCAACUAUGCCAGAGCCCAUAAUGGCUUGUGGCUGCACACGGAAGUUUCUAGUUUGAAUAAUCUCAUGAUCCCUUUGAGCCUGGGUGGCGGUCCGAAGAAAUACAGGCAAGUCCUGAUAGAAACCAGGUGCCUCAAUCCACCCAGAUGUGUGUUUAAUUUGCCACCUUAAAUAAACCAUUAAUUAUCAAACUCACAUCUAUCAUGGAUACACUCACCCAAUCCACGUCUACUAGCAUAGCAUGGCAUAAAAAGCAAACGUAGAAGUAACUCCCAAGGGUUUGAUAAUAAAACAGGUAAUAGGUACUACCUCAAUCUACUUCCCAAGACCCUCAAUUUAAUUAGAUCCUAAUCAUGCAAUGUUUGAGGAUAAAUCUAUGCAUAAAACCUGGGUAGUAGAAAAGGUAUGGUCAAAGUGUUACUUGCCUGCAAUGUUGAUGAAGAUGAUUCGCACUCAAAACUCUUGAUAGUUCUACUCGUCACACUCCAGUCAAUCUAUCGUGAGCAAGCAAUAGUAACCACACAUAAGCAAUCACUCAAAGGUUCAGAGAGAAGGAAGAGAACAACUCGGAAAAUCUCAAAACCAAGCAAAUAACUCUUGCAGCAUAAAGUAAUUUCUAACAGUACCAAAAUUAUGUGAAUUUGGCCUUAUCAGAAAUUUUAGGUCAAGGGCUUUGAUUUGCAAAAAGAAUCAACUCAAACGGAGUUAUAAAACUCAAGUUAUGAUCAAACGAAGUUCAAAUGCUAAACUGUUUGAAAUUCAAAUUUUAAACUUUCAAAAACAUGUUUAAGUUGUUUUACUGGAUAGAGGGGAUCAUAACGAAGAAGUGGGCGUUGGUUUCGUUGGAUUCCGACUAUCGAGUGAAAAGUAGUGAUUGAUUUAAGAACAGGGACUAAUCUGUAAAUAAAAUAUUCACAGACGGGUCCCUGGCCGAAAUAAACAGAAAUCAGAAAGGCUAAAUAAUGAACGUUCAUUUAUAAGAUCUAAACAGUGGUCGUUCGCUGUUUACUAAAACCUAAAAAAAUAGAUCUAGUCUAGGGUUUAAGAAAAACCGAUCUUAAAAGAAAAACUGAAUCAGACCGGGGUCGGUUUUAUACCGGUUGGCAGUGGUUUUCGACGAAGAACCGGCGACGGCGGUUACUCCGGCGAAACGAGACGGCGGUGGCGGCUCGGGUCCGGCCGGGGCAGCAGCUCCGGUGGCCCUCCGACUCGGCGGAGUGAACGGGGGGAUGCGGCGCAGGACGGCGGUGAGGUGGGUGGUGGCUGCGGCGGUGGUGCAGCGCGGCAGCGGCUGCAGUUGGCAUCGGCGGCGGUGGCUACCGAUGGCGGCAGCGGCGGAUCUGGCGAGGGGCGGCGGCGGCGGCGAAAACGGGACCCAGGGGCCCCCAGGGUGGCCUUUUAUGGAGGAGGGGAGGCGCGGUGGCGUGGGGAAGGGGCGGCAGGUGGCGGGGCGGCGCCGGACUCCGGGAGGAGUCCCGGUCGGGGACGACGGGUGAGGCGGCGCGGAGCUGGGCCUUGGCCUGGCUUCGGCUGGGCCGGCCCAGUUCGGCGGAAGAAGUUUUUUUUUAAACAAAUUUUCACAAAAUAAAAUAAACCAAAAAUAAAUAAAAAUAUACUGUAGGCAUAUAAUAUAUCAAAAUUUUCAGAAAAAGAUUUCCUAUAGCGUGAACAUUAUUGUAGCUUCAAAUAAAAUCUACAAAAAUUCAAAUAAUUCAAACAGUGCUACUGUUCUAAUAAAAUCAUUUUAAAAAAUACCAAAAUUAAUUCAAAUUUAUUUCUCUCCAAUUUUCUGAUGUAGGGAAUCAUGUUACCCUAUUUUCCAUAUAUUUUAUUUUUGGAGAAAAAUAAUUUGAAUAAAACUCAAAUAACUCCAAAGUGAAAAUAAAUUCAAAAGAACUUUGAAUUUAAUUCUUUGAAACUCCCAACUCAUAUUUCAUAUGUUUUGAAGAAGUCAUUUUAUCUUCGCUAGUGAAAAUCAUUGAGUUGCAUAAAGUUCCUGGGUUGGAAAUAUUUUCCAAAUGAAAUUCAAAUAUUUUCAACACCCCUUGUCAUUUAAAUAAAUGGAAGAAGUCAUGCCAUCUUCUCUACAGGGUUUUGUGGUGAAAAGAAUUUGAAUUCAUGAAGAUCAAAAAAAAGAAAAUGAAAGUUUGGGAAAGUCCUUUUAUUCCCUCUCAUUUAACUUUCAAAAAGUUUCGAAUUCACUCACUUUCAGUCUAUCAAUCAAACAAUCAAUCAAAACUAUCUAUUUGUUUAUAACAUUCCAUAAUUUAGAAUUUUGGGAUGUUACAAACCUACCACCCUUAAAAUGAAUCUCGUCCUCGAGAUUCGGAGAUGCUAGCAUGAAAUAGGUUAGGGUUUGGGGGUCUUCUCAAAAUCCAUCGGUCAUCAGGGGUCUCGGUUGCUACCACCCUUAGAAGCAUUCUUAUGGUUCCAUCAAAAGUCAUAUACUCCAUCCUUUUGUUGAUAGGGUCGGUCUUCUCAGAUCUUCGGUAUAAUUCCUCCUCUGGCUCUUCCGGUACUGGCAUAACCUUUUCCUCAAUACUUUUGUCCUUUCCUCUUGGUAAGGUUAUUCCGAGACUGGGUCUUCUUAGCUGACGGGUCUGGCGCCAAUAACAGCUAUCGAUAUCUCAUGGUGGUCAACCAUUUAUGGUUUCUCCUGCAGAAAACGGGUCUGGGUGGAACCUCACCGUAUGACCUACGAUUGGCAACAACCGCCUUGUAUAAGGGAAGAAUACUUAUACCAUUCUAAGGUUCAAACAAGGUUUAAUAUCAUCGUCUCUCUUCUAUAGGUAAGUCACUCAGAUUUACCAUCCACAUAUCAAGGCGAAUAAUAAGAGUAAGUCGGUAUGGUGAUCAAUCCAUCCCGCACCCAAAUCAUUAUCUUGUAUAUGGUUUAGUGAAUCUCGCAUUCUAACACUCGGUCAUCCUCACAAGCAUUGCAGAAUUUCUCUUGUCAACGAACCAAGUUCGGAUAAAUCCAUUGAUUCUGCAAGCCAAACAAACAUCUAUCGUUCCUUCACAACUCUCAGGUUUUGAGUUGCUCCUAUAAAAUUGUCGGUUGAUAAAGUCGUAACUUCUUCCGGGGUUUUUCCUUCAGCAAGAGUGUGCUUGCUUCUUGGCAGGUCCUGGGGCCUGUGGGUUAUGGCCCAUCACAUCACUUGUAAACAUUGAACUUAUCAUCGAGCAACUGAUCAUUAUUCCAACUUCCAACUUCCUAGUAUUCUUAAACCCAUCCAAUUGUAUUGUCUCCCUUCCUUAUGUUGGUAUCAAACUAAAACGUGAUUACUCAGACUCAUCAUGGAAUUUCCAUUGAUCCAUAUUUCCAACAUCAUACCUCCUUUAUAUCCAAUAGUAAUCCAUCUCUUCAACCUCAUGGGAUAUCCCACAUACCGAGAUAAAAACUUAUACUUAUGAAGUCCAUACUCCACUUUGUGGAACAUCAUUAUCCCUUCCAGGGUCAAGCGUCCUUACAGGGGAAUAUUGGCCAUCUCUCCAUGGCACUUCUUCAAUUGGGAAACGUGAAACACAUCAUGAACUCCUGACAGUGCUUCGGAUGACUCCAACUUGUUGGCCACUUCUCCCAUACGCUCCAAAACUCGGUAUGGUCCUACAAAUCUCGGGGCUAACUUUCCCUUAACUCCAAAUCGUUUAACUCCUCGCAGAGGGGACACACGAAGACAUGCUCUAUCUCCAAUUUCAUAGACUACCUCCUUGCAUUUUUGAGUCUGCAAUAUUCUUCUGCCUGGACUGAGCUACCUUCAGUCUAUCUCGAAUCAACUUAACAUUCUCUUCCGACUCCUUGAUCACAUUUUGUCCAAAAAAUAGACGGUCUCCAACUUCAUCCCUUGUCAACGGUUUCUGGCUCCUUCUCCCAUACAAAGCUUCAAAAGGGGCCAUCUUCAAACUAGCUUGGUAACUGUUGUUGUAUGAGAAAUCUGCGUAAGGUAGAUUAUCAUCCCUACUAGAUCCAAAAUUUAGUGCACACGCUCUCAACAUGUCCUCCAGAUUCUAAUUGACUCUCCCGGUCUAUCCAUCUGUCUGCGGAUGAGGUAAACUGUGUUCCUCUAUCUGAUACGAUGGUCCUCGGAACUCCAUGCAGACAUACGAUCCUGGUCAAAAAUAUCUUGGCCAACUUCGCACUUGUAUAGGUGGUUUUCAUUGGGAUAAAAUGAGCCACUUUGGUCAAGCGAGUCAACUACUACCCAGAUAGAAUCAUAUCCCGUUCGGGUUCUGGGAAAUCCGGUAAUGAAAUCCAUGCCAAGCUUAUUCCACUUCCAUUCGGGUAUCGGCAUAGGCUGUAGUAAUCUGGCUGGCUUCUGAUGCUCUGCUUUUACUCCCUCUAGCAUACAUCACAUACGGCUACAUACUCGACAAUAUCCUUCUUCAUACCAGUCCACCAGAAAUGCUCCUUCAAAUCCAAAUACAUCUUGGUGUUUCCAGGGUGAAUCGAGUUGGUGAGUCAUGAGCCUCCUGAAGUAUUAACUUCCUAAUCUCUGCAUUAUUGGGUAUAUGUACACUGUCCUCAAACCAUAAGGUGUCGUGCUUAUUUUUACGAAAACCUUUGGCCUUCCCUUUGCUCAUUUUCUCCUUUAUCUCAGCAAUCUCUUUAUCAUCCUUCUAAGCUUCACGGAUCUUUUCCAACAAUGUAGACUGAACUUCCAUUGCUGCAACAAAACCUUUGGGAACAAUCUCCAACCGAAGUACCCUGAGAUCCUCGGCUAACUCCUUUAGUAAUCCCCCACUUAUGAGGGUAUUCAUCCUGGUGUUCUUUAUGGUUGUGUCCUAUUUCUCCACAAAGCUUGCAUGCACUUUCUCCAUAUCAUUUCCAUAAGGCUUCAACUUCUGGGACACAAAUCGAGACUUUAGCAAGGUCAACUUAAAUUCCUUCCAAGUGGUUACUCCUUGCCAUCCAUUGAUGUUUUGGUACAUCCUCCACCAAGUAGCAGCAACUCUUUUCAAAGCAUUGAAGAGCAUGCUGGGCCAUAUCAUUUCCGACUGCAUGGUUAUUCUUCAUGUGAUCCUCCAUGUUCUGAAUCCAUCGGUCCGUCUCCAAUUGACUCAUCGGUCCAGACAAUACAAGCUCAUCUCCAUUCAUCCUCUAUGGGGUCCAUGGGUUUUGGGGUGGGAUAAGAGAGAUAGAGAGGGACGCACACAAUACAAACAAAAGUUUUGAAAAGGCAGAUUUUAUUGUGGCUGUCGGAAAAACAACAAACAAAUGACAGCUCACAAUCGUCGCAUCUAACGUAAGUAUAUCACAGGGGUUUGGUCUUCUAAUGAUCAAUAAAUCUUCAACGUCACCAAACUCUUCAAGUCUUGUUCAUGUCUCCGAUAGAUUCUUCUGAUCAUGCUUUUCCUUCUCAAGUUCUUUUGCCAGAUCAUCUCUAUUGACGUGAAGUCUCUCAUGACAUCCUUUAAUAUUAUUGGAGUUCGUUCCAAACUUCUGGGUUUCAACAUCCUUGGUAUGAGCCAUGGUCCUACUGUCCUUCAGUUCCUGAGUUCUUCACGAAUUGCCUCCUUGUCAAAUAUGACUUCCUAAAGUCCAUCUUAAAAUCCUUGAUGUUAUACUCCAGAUCCUGGCGAUACACUAGCUAAGGUUAAAACUACAUCCUUUGCUGAUGGGUGCUCCAUCAGCCUUCUACCAUCCAAUCCUUCCAAAGAAGUGCAUGCUUAACUCAGCAUGGUGGCAAUAGCAUAAGAGGGCGAUAACAUCUUGGAUAGCCGUGCUUCUGCUCUUGUCAUUUCCAUGAGCUAUCAUUCCAUAGUUGAUAUCUCCUGCCUCAGGGUUUUCUUGACAAAACAUUGAGUUCUAAUGCUCCAUGUUCAGGUCUUUCUCCGAUACACCUUGAUCUCGGGUAUUGACAACUUCCUUAGUCUGUCAAAUUCCAUAAGCGUAACCUUCCUAGGUCAUAAAAAUCUGGGAAUUCUUCAGAGCAUUUAAAUUCUCCUAGUCUUCGGAGUCUUCAACUGUUGUAGUUUCCAUUAUCAUAAUGUAUGGUAAAAUCCUCUUCAUUCCGAAUGGUCUUAGUUGCCCGAUAUCUUGUCUCCUUGGAGUGGUCUCAUCGGUCGAAUCUUUGAGUGGUCAAAAGGGAAAAGGGGUAUGGUCUCACUAAAAGGGAAUAUUUGAAUAAGCUCAGAAGAGAAGAGAGGUAAAAGAUCUUUUUGAAAAUGAAGUUGUAGAGAAAAUCCUUUCCUAUGGGCUUGCCAGUAUCUAGGGUCACGUCCUACAGUCAACCUGGCUCUGAUACCAUCUUGUAGCGACCCGACCCGAAUGGGUCAAGUCUCUGUGCUUAAGUGUCAUCCCUGGAUCGGUAUGCUGCCACACACAGUACUCGAGGAUUUAUAACAGAGGUAAUCACAUGUAUAAAUAACGUAAAUACUAUUACCUCAAUCCAAAUAGCGGAAGUAACAAGGUUGUGGAUUCCCAUCAACACCAACGGCAAAGUUGAGUGUAGAAAUCGUAACCCUAACGUAUCACUUACUCGUCGUCUGAAAAGUCUGCAACAUGAAACGUUGCAGCCCGAAAAUGGGUCAGCACAUGGAAUAUGCUGGCAAUGUAACACAUAGAGAGUAAUGAAUGAAUAAGCCUAUACUACAUGCAUAUAUGGCUGGUGGAAAGCUCUAUGGUUAUAAUGUUUUUGCGAAAAGCCAAUUUUUCCCUACUGCAAAGGAAUAAAUUCAUUUAACUAUCAUGGUGGUUGUUAAACAUUUAGAAUGGUUGACAGCAUUCUCAGUCCCAAUUAAAAGUACUCAUUAACCCAACAAAAUUAAUUAAAGUAACAUGAUGAGAUCAACAGGAUAAUCCAAGAACUAGAUACUCAAGAUGUCCAUAACCGGGGACACGGCUAACCAUGAUUAGUUUAUACACUCUGCAGAGGUUUGCGCACUUUUCCCCACAAGACUCGAUCUCCUCCGUUAGAUUUCUUGCACUACAUGAUGUUUGAGAAACGGAUGAUCGAGACAUAGUCUUUCAGAAGCACUAGCACCUUACAUGUGGGUAGACCGGUACACCUACUUUCCCCUACAUCUGCUAGUCUACCCGUAAGAGUUCGCACAACUUAAUCAACUAUGCCAGAGCCCAUACUGGCUUGUGGCUGCACACGGAAGUUUCUAGUUUGAAUAAUCUCAUGAACCCUUUGAGCCUGGGUGGUGGUCCGAAGAAAUACAGGCAAGUCCUGAUAGAAACCAGGUGCCUCAAUCCACCCAGAUGUGUGUUUAAGUUGCCACCUUAAAUAAACCAUUAAUUAUCAAAGUCACAUCUGUCAUGCAUACACUCACCCAAUCCACGUCUACUAGCAUAGCAUGGCAUAAAAAGCAAACAUAGAAGUAACUCCCAAGGGUUUGAUAAUAAAACAGGUAAUAGGUACUACCUCAAUCUACUUCCCAAGACCCUCAAUUUAGUUAGAUCCUAAUCAUGCAAUGUUUGAGGAUAGAUCUAAUGCAUAAAAACUGGGUAGUAGAAAAGGUAUGGUCAAAGUGUUACUUGCCUGCAAUGUUGAUGAAGAUGAUUCGCACUCAAAACUCUUGAUAGUUCUACUCGUCACACUCCGGUCAAUCUAUCGGGAGCAAGCAAUAGUAACCACACAUAAGCAAUCACUCAAAGGUUCAGAGAGAAGGAAGAGAACAACUCGGAAAACAUCAAAACCAAGCAAAUAACUCUUGCAGGAUAAAGUAAUUUCUAACAUUACCAAAAUUAUGUGAAUUUGGCCUUAUCAGAAAUUUUAGGUCAAGGGCUUUGAUUUGCAAAAAGAAUCAACUCAAACAGAGUUAUAAAACUCAAGUUAUGAUCAAACGAAGUUCAAAUGCUAAACUGUUUGAAAUUCAAAUUUUAAACUUUCGAAAACAUGUUUAAGUUGUUUUACUGGAUAGAGGGGAUCAUAACAAAGAAGUGGGCGUUGGUUUCGUUGGAUUCCGACUAUCGAGUGAAAAGUAGUGAUUGAUUUAAGAACAGGGACUAAUCUGUAAAUAAAAUAUUCACAGUCGGAUCCCUGGCCAAAAUAAACAGAAAUCAGAAAGGCUAAAUAACGAACGUUCAUUUAUAAGAUCUAAACAGUGGUCGUUCGCUGUUUACUAAAACCUAAAAAAAUAGAUCUAGUCUAGGGUUUAAGAAAAACCGAUCUUAAAAGAAAAACCGAAUCAGACCGGGGUCAGUUUUAUACCGGUUGGCAGCGGUUUUCGACGAAGAAUCGACGACGGCGGUUACUCCAGCGAAAGGAGACGGCGGCGGCGGCUUGGGUCCGACCGGGGCGGCAGCUCCGGUGGCCCUUCGGCUCGGCAGAGUGAACGGGGGGAUGCGGCGCGGGACGGCGGUGAGGUGGGUGGUAGCUGCGGCGGUGGUGCAGCGCAGCGGCGGCGGCAGUUGGCAUCGGCGGCGGCGGCUACCAAUGGCGGCGGCGGCGGAUCUGGCGAGGGGCGGCGGCGGCGGCGAAAACGGGACGCACGGGCCCCUGGGGUGGCCUUUUAUGGAGGAGGGGAGGCGCGGUGGCAUGGGGAAGGGGCGGCAGGUGGCGGGGCAGCGCCGAACUCCGGGAGGAGUCCCAGUCGGCGACGACGGGCGAGGCAGCGCGGAGCUGGGCCUUGGCCUAGCUUCGGCUGGGCCGGCCCAGUUCGACGGAAGAAGUUUUUUUUAAACAAAUUUUCAGAAAAUAAAAUAAACCAAAAAUAAAUAAAAAUAUACUAUAGGCAUAUAAUAUAUCAAAUUUUUCAGAAAAAGAUUUCCUACAGCGUGAACAUUAUUAUAUCUUUAAAUAAAAUCUACAAAAAUUCAAAUAAUUCAAACAGUGCUACUGUUCUAAUAAAAUCCAAUAAAAUCAUUUUAAAAAAAUACCAAAUUUAGUUCAAAUUUAUUUCUCUCCAAUUUUCUGAUGUAGGGAAUCAUGUUACCCUAUUUUCCAUAUAUUUUAUUUUUGGAGAAAACUAAUUUGAAUAAAACUCAAAUAACUCCAAAGUGAAAAUAAAUUCAAAAGAACUUUGAAUUUAAUUCUUUGAAACUCCCAACUCAUAUUUCAUAUGUUUUGAAGAAGUCAUUUUAUCUUCGCUCGUGAAAAUCAUUGAGCUGCAUAAAGUUCCUGGGUUGGAAAUAUUUUCCAAAUGAAAUUCAAAUAUUUUCAACACCCCUUGUCAUUUAAAUAAAUGGAAGAAGUCAUGUCAUCUUCUCUACAGGGUUUUGUGGUGAAAAGAAUUUGAAUUCAUGAAGAUCAAAAAAAAGAAAAUGAAAGUUUGGGAAAGUCCUUUUGUUCUCUCUCAUUUAACUUUCAAAAAGUUUCGAAUUCACUCACUUUCAGUCUAUCAAUCAAAUAAUCAAUCAAAACUAUCUAUUUGUUUAUAACAUUCCAUAAUUUAGAAUUUUGGGAUGUUACACUUAGCCAGGGUUUGGUAGCUUAUGCCCCCUACUUUGCAACAUAGAGCAGAAAUGGUUGAAACGGCUCCCAUUGUGUGUGGGAAUUCUUUCAAAUGUGCAUGGCCUGGCGACUGACAGGAUGCCCCUGUGAGUGCUAUUCCAUGUGCUGGAAAACCUCUUUGGCACAUCUUUCGUGAUCUAGUUAACAGUAGUUUAGUGACUCAUGUCUUCCAGGGCUUAGACCUGCUUAUUAUACUAGAAACAAUGGAAUACCUAAAGUUGGAUAUAGGUGAGGUGGGACUUAAGAAUGCCUUGUCUGGAACAUCUCUUCAAAGCAAGAAUUAGCAUAUAGAAAGGAAGCAGCAUUUCCUUUCAGCUGCUUUUAAAAAGUCCCCGGGGAUAUAGCCCACUUCUCAUUUCUCAACACCAGCUUCUCUUCUCUUUUCUUAAGUAUAAGAGGGAUAGGUACUUAUUCCUGGCCGGUGGUAUCAUUGCCGCUCCCAUCCUCAACUCCAAUCUCUGAACUAUUUAGAGGUAAGUAAAAUCUCGCCAUGCCAUGGGGUGAUUUAUUUUUUCAUUCAACCUUUUAAAUAUAUCUGUUAUUAAUAAAAAACACUCCGUAGAGAAGUGAUAACCUUUGCACAAGUGAAAGAAGCCCACAUACCCACUCUCCUUUCCCUCUAACCAGAAGCAAUAAAACCAAAGCUACCUGGCGUGGAGGCCUGGAAUUCACUAUUGGAUUAAUGAAUCCUACACUACGAUCGAUAAAAAAUAAAAAUAAAAAGGUAAACAUCUUAUUUGUUCUUUAUUCUCACAUUUCUUUUUUUAUAUUGGGGAUUGGGCAGAUUUAUGGGAAGAGUUUGCUUACUUGAUCUAUAAUUAGCAUCCAGAGCUGGCUAUGGGGGUUAUCCAGCUCCUAGGGCUUUUUCCAUCUUUUGAUUUUUUUCAGUCGUUGACUGAGAUUGAUAGCAUCAAGAUCCCAUUCUAAGAUGGAAUGGAUGCAGUCAGUUUGGUCCUCAGUGGACCCCGGAAGCUGCAGAUGGAAAACUUGGGCCUUCUCCACUACCUGGGAAGCCAGUGUAUCCACUUCGCCCCUUAUCUUAUUGAUAGAUUUCUCCAUGGCACGGAGAAUUCUUUCGUCUGGAUCGCCAGUCAUCCAAUCCGAGGGAUCCACUGCUGUAGCCGUCGAAUAGGAAAAAAGUAAGGUAAUAAUAACUAAUCCUACUGCAAAGGCCCCACCUGGAAUGAAGGUAUUUGCUACGGCCUUCACAAUCCAAACAAGAAACGAUUUGAGUAGUAAGCGGCAUCCCCUCUGAGUUGUGAGUAAGCGGAGCCAUUCUUUUUUUGUUCUUCUCCAGAUUCUGGCCGGAGGGCUUUGUACCAACCAUUCUAGUGUGGUUGGAUUCUGUUCAACAGCCCAAGGACUUUCCGCACAUUUUUGGUUCUUUCCACUGCUUGAAGUGAUUGCGACAACUACGAAGAAACGACGAAUCCCAACUACGGAUAUAUAAGAACCGAAACUGCUCAGAGCAUUCCAUCCGGCGUAAGCAUCUGGAUAAUCUGGAAUGCGAUGUGGCAUACCCAAAAGCCCUAAGAAAUGCAUGGGAAAGAAGGUCAGAUUAACCCCGAAAAAAGUGAUCCAAAAAUGGAUUUGGCCUAAAGUUUCAAGAUAUGUCCGACCAAAGAUUUUACCCACCCAAUAGUAAAUUCCAGCAAAUAAAGCAAAAACGGCUCCCAUAGAAAGUACAUAAUGGAAAUGUGCAACCACAUAAUAAGUAUCAUGUAGAGCAAUGUCUAGCCUAGAGUUUGCUAGAACUAUUCUAGUGAUCCCGCCUAUGGUGAACAAAAAGAUGAACCCUACAACAAAUAACAUGGGUGUUUUGUAUUGUAUCGAACCUCCCCACAUAGUAGCGAUCCAACUAAAGAUUUUGAUUCCUGUGGGCACAGCUAUGAUCAUGGUAGCUGCGGUGAAGUAGGCACGCAUAUCAACGUCUAAGCCCACAGUAAACAUAUGAUGAGCCCAAACUAGAAAUCCAAGAACACCUAUACUUAUCAUGGCAUAAACCAUGCCUAGAUACUCGAAGACCGGUUUUCUUGAAAAGGUCGAUACGAUAUGACUAAUAAUACCAAAUCCAGGCAGAAUGAGAAUAUACACCUCUGGAUGACCGAAGAACCAAAAGAGAUGCUGGUAUAAUAUUGGGUCUCCCCCUCCUGCAGGAUCAAAAAAGGUUGUAUUAAAGUUUCGAUCGGUUAAUAACAUUGUAAUUGCCCCCGCCAGUACCGGAAGUGAUAAUAAAAGUAGGAAUGUUGUCACUAGAACGGACCACACAAAAAGUGGUAAUCUAUGCAUAGUCAUUCCAGGUCCACGCAUGUUGAAGAUAGUUGUUAUAAAAUUGAUAGAACCUAAAAUUGAUGAAAUACCUGAUAGAUGAAGACUAAAAAGUGCUAAAUCAACUGCUCCUCCAGAAUGGCUGGUAAUACCACUUAAGGGCAGAUAGACUGUCCACCCAGUGCCGCUGCCCACUUCUACUAAGGCUGAGCUUAAUAGGAGCAAGAGACUUGGUGGCAACAACCAGAAUGAUAUAUUAUUUAAUCGUGGAAAUGCCAUGUCAGGUGCACCUAUCAGAAUCGGAACAAACCAAUUACCAAAUCCACCUAUCAUCGCCGGCAUAACCAUAAAAAAGAUCAUUAAAAAAGCGUGAGCCGUUAUUAAAACAUUAUAAAGUUGAUGAUUCCCACCAAGAAUUUGAUCGCCGGGUCGGACUAAUUCCAUACGAAUUAGUACGGAGAAGCAUGUGCCCAUCACUCCUGCAAUGGCACCGAAGAUGAAAUAGAGAGUCCCAAUAUCCUUGUGGUUAGUAGAGAAGAGCCAUCGAACCAUAUUUGUCAUUAUUAAUUUUAGAAAUGAAAACUUUCCUUAUCAAAGAGGGGCCGGGGGCUGGAAGAGAAAAGAAUCAGAAUUACUGAGCUACCCCGCUCUUUUUUUUUCUAAUUCCCUUCUAAGAUCCUCUGACUUAAACAAGUCGAGAGCAUGCUCGUGCUCAGCUCUUUCGAGACUUGCCUUGCUCUUGGGGAUUUCUUCCCACCGGAUCCUCUGUUCCACUUCCAGGCACCUCCUUGCGGAGCUUUCCGCCUUAAGGAGAUCCCGUUUGUGGGAAACAACAUUUCGAAAGAAAACGGAUCCUCCCUCAUUCUCCCGCAGAUCUUGAUAAGACGCUUGGAGAACAGUGAAAGAAUCAGUUGCGUGAAUGUGGUCCAGAUAGGAACGAAGCGCUUCAUCGACCAAGUAGGGCUCGAUCGGUAGAUAAGGCCCUACUCUUUGAUAAAGCACCACAAAUUCCUGAAUGACAUCUUGUCGCAUAGAAGAGAGCUUUUCUUCCAUUAGGAAGAGCUUAAGCCGCCCAGGUAUGUCUUCCAGGGGGGUAUUGUGAUUAAGCUCGUUUUGAAUGAACGUAACCCAUCCCGGAUCUUGCUCGUAAAGACUCGGAUAGAAGUUUAGCCCUGCUAAAUGAGAUAGAGCCUGGGGGUCUUGAAUCUCCGGCGGGAGAGUGAUCAGAAAGGAGGUAUUAAUCGAUAGCAAUCCAAAUCUAUUACUAUCGUCACAGAAGUAGUUUGCUUCUAACGAAACUACUUUGUUCAAUAAUCAAAUGAAGUGGCCUUUACAUCAAUAAAGUCAUAUUAAGGUAAAUAAUUAUACAGCAAAAUAAUCAUAUCUUUGUUCAAGAAAUAAAGAUAUUCAUUAUUUCUGACUAAACCUGAACUUUGCAGAGCUAAUCCUGAAGAAAUAGCGUGCCUUAAAUAUAUUAUAAUUGGAACUCUACAAAUCGUCACAGAAGGAGGACUUUCACAGAAAAACAAAAGUUGUAUGCCAAAAAGAGCCAAUGUGAAUUUAGGUUCAAAAGGAUCAAUAGCACAUGACCAAGUUCAAGUGUCUUCUCUUCAAGAGAAUAGAGCAUAAUUGUAGGAUUAUAUGGAUAUCAGUGCUUUUAUUCAAUUCUCGAGGCACUCUUCAACGAUUGAGGAGAUUCCCGAGGCAGUCUUAGUGCUAUCGUCAGGGUCACCAGCCUACUGUACCCCUUAUUCUGGCUUAGCCUUGCUUAAACAGAAGAGGCUUGGUUAGCAUCCUUUCUAUCAGGUGCUAUUCUUUGCUACCAACAAUUCUUUAAGUACGCGGUGAAGUAAAUAAUAGUGCACUUGCUGAUAGUAGAACCCCCAAGAAAUCUCACAGUAUAGGCCGAUAUCUUUGUGCAAUGUCAUUUACGGGUGGUUAGGCAAAUAAACACAAAGGAAUUGAUCGAUUCUCUUAGUUGAUGUGCUUUCUUCCAAACCCUUGACUCGAAGAUAGUCAAUACUACCUUGCUAUUUAUAGAAUUCCUCCACUAGGUCGGAGAAUAUAUUACUUUCUUUACCGACAUGCAGGUGGAAUAAGACCAGCAUUAUGAACUACUCAUCACUGAAUGUUACGUACUGCCAUUCCAACUAGCCAACUAGCUAUUAACUAUUAAGGGGAAUUCCUCCCAAAGGUUGGAAACUCUAUUUAUUUAUGGGACUGAACUUAUUGAUACAGUCAGAUUUAGGAAAAAAGUGCAUGCAUGUUUCACAUACCCACUCGCUGAAAAGAGGUCAGAUCAGCAAAAACACAGGACCCAGAAAUUGCAUAUAGCAGCGAUCGAGACCACCCGCUGGGAAUCUCGGCAACCCACAUUUGAGGAAACUGCUACUUCAAGAUAGGUUGGUCUUGAUUGAAGGCAUGUUUCAGAAGUUAGCCAUCACCCACAAAGCUGUUCGCACUCCAGAACAAUCAAGAACCAACAAUGCACAGGAAGAGGCGAUCUUCCUAUCCUAGCACGAUACUGGGAUCUGAUAAGCGUAAUUUGGAGCGGCUGCAAAGGGUGCAAUACUACUUGGCCUGGAGGGGACUAGGAUAAAUUGUUCCAAGUACCAAAAGCCCUAAGGCUGCAAACGAUUACCCAUAACGACCGAUAUAGAUUCGGCUCGAGGUGCUACUGAACCCUGAAUCCAAAGAUUGAUCACCUAACCAAUUCAAGGUCACAAGAUAAGAAAGGAUGGUGCUCCUCUAACCCUGUAUUUGAGUGACUGUUACGCAACAUUGGUGAUCAGUUAAUGGCAAACGAAAAGCUAUUCAGGUAGACAAUAGUCUGGCUCGAGUGGCUAGGUAUGUCCUAGUCACGCCCUACCUAGGGUUGAGGAACACGUGUUUGUCCAAUUUCGACAAAACUAAGAGGAUGUUACGAUCCCGCUAUAAAAAGAAUUUGAAUGCCCCGUCCAUGUGCGGGCCCGUCGAGCUAUAAGUGAGGGAUCUUAUUUAAAGGAGGGAUGACGAAAAGUCACGUCUCAGAACAGAAGGGGUAGAAAAUGUGGGGAACCGAGAACCACCUGCUCUCUAAGAAACCCAUGGAAAGUCAAGAAGUGAACGGAUGCAAAACCGCUUUACUAAAGAAAGUGGGUUCACUAAGAGGGGAGAGAAAAAGGCGGGCGACAAGAAGGCGGUCGCAGGCAGUAAGUAGAUGGACGGCUCUUCGACAGGAGGUAGUAAAAUUGCCAAACCUAAGAAGACCAUUUCUUUGCUAUCGCUCUAGCCCUACCGGGAGGGGGCUUAGCCGGGUCCAACAAACCUUAUGAGUGGGUCCCACGCACUCAGUCAAAGAGCACCCGACGAAACGUAAGAUGGCUCCAUACUGGGUGGUAAAACACAAAUGGUAUGGGAAAUUGUUCAGUUGCCACUGGAACCAAAAACCACUGGUUAAGUGGAUCAAUCCAAAAGGAUUGAAUCAACUUAUUUAUUCUCAAUAGCUCAGCUCAAGGGGAACACCCUCGAAGUAUGAGGGAAAAGACCAAUUGAUAAAGCGCACAAUGCUAAAUUCAAAAAUUGGUUGGUACUUUUCCAGGAAAAGAACUACUCAUCCCUCUAAAGCCGAAGGAAAGACAGCGGACUAACGCAUCAACCUUUCCAGAAGCCCAGGAGAUAAGGAGUUAGCUCUAUGCAUUCCUUUAUUGAAGGUAAAGAAACUAAACAGUUUUUCAUACCACCCGGGAGGUGAAUCGGAGUGAGGAGGCCCUCGGGGGGGGGGGGGGCUUACUUAGAUUGUUAGGUAUAGUAAUAUAGGCAUGAGGCAGGCCCUACCCAAUGAGCGACCUCGUAGCAAGCAUACAACCAAAGGAGACCCUGCUACAAGAAGGCCCUAUUCCAAAGGUGGGAAACCAGGUAAUACAGCACGACAUCAGUGUGGUCAAGCCGGUAAUCGAACAGAUUCGGGAUCUU